CUUUCCGACUUCCGCCUCACGGGUUCUGGGCGAAACAAUGAAGACAAAAUAAAGCAAAAUUGAGCGACAGCGGUUUCUUUUCUUUCUGUGUGCCCGGACAUACAAAACUUCAAAAGAAACUCGAUCUCUCAAUGUACACUCCCGGUCUCAGCCGCGGACUGUGGAAAGGAACACACCUUUAAGCACGUGGGCUGAUUAGCCUACUUAAUGCAACCCAGGUGCUCUUUCCACCGGUCGUGUUGUCGAGACUCGAGACCAAUCCGCUUCUCCCUGAUUGAAUGCUACAGAUGACUUCUCUGUUUAGAAUGCCCGGGUAAUCUAUCUAUCUAUCUAUCAUGUAUAAUGCUUCCUGAUUUCAAUGAACGGUGCUUCAAAGACCUGACCGGUUACAUAUUGCUCUGCCUAUGUUGUUCCAUGCUUAAGGUAAGCAAAAUGGAGGCUGAGUGAACGUAACUGGAAUUGCAGAAGAAACAACCCAUUUCAGUCCUGUCGAUUGGUUGGAUCUUUGAGGGUAAAAACACCUUUGAAAAAUCAACUGAUGCCACCCUAAUGAAAAUGUAAAAAAACUGUAAAUUAAUUUUCUAAAUAUGUAUCACGGCAGUACAAUACAUUGAAUAUAGCUUAAAGGAGGAACAAUUUCUAUAUCUGUACACACGCAAUUUUUCAAUUAUAUAUUUACUCAAUACUGAAUUACAUUACAUUUCCUAACAUGCAGGAAUCUUGCCUAUUUUGAAGCUGAAGUAAUGAUGCUUGGUGUGUGGGAGCAUUGUGCUGCGUGUGGGGGGCACUGUGCUGCAGGGGGCGUACCUCUUGUCGCAGCAGCUGGUUGUCCAUCCUUAGCCUCUCCAGCGUGUUGAGCUCGUCCACCAGCCUGCCGUUGCUCUGCCGCAGCUCCUGGAUGUAGUCGCAGGCCUUGGACAGGAUGCCCCCUUUGCUCUGCGACACACAGCCCGCACACAGUCAGGCCGGGUCCCACACAUCCAGAGGCCUCCCCCCCCAAACCUGAGCACCCCUGCCCUCAUUUCAGUCCUGCACACAGUCAGGCUGGGUCCCACACUCUGCUCAUCCAGAGGCCUUUCCCCACCCCGUGUCCCAUGUCAUUUCGCUCAACAGACACAACAUUUUUGUGCAGUAGCACAUAGGUGGCCUGCAGUCAACUAUGGCCAGCUUUGAGGCUGGUGAGCAAACGAUCUACGCCAACCCCCUGGUCCCGAAGAACAAGUAUGAGGCGAAGAUAUCGCAAGGGACAAGCAAAAUGGUUAGCAGACAAACACAUUGAUGAUGGGGAAAUACUCUACGCAAAUGCACCAUGGUCCAAACCAACAGUAUUAAGGGGACAGACACAUAUAUACAUACAGAUUGUAAUGUAUUGUGACUUCCCCCCACCUGCCCCGUCUUGGUGGAGUCCAUGGUGCAGUCCGGAAUGGUCUUGGACAGCUGGACGAUCCAGUUAUUUAUCUUGUCUCGCCGCCUGCGUUCAACUGUGGUACACCAAUAACGGGUUAUUUAUGGGGGUGUGGAGGGGGGUGGUAUAUCAACCAAUGCAUCAGUUGUUUUCAAUGUACUUCAACAGGGUUUGGGUUCAGGAUGGAUUCUAGAAUACUCAAGCAUAGUGUUAAAUAUGUUAUUGACUUAGGAAUGUCAUCCAAGUGUAGUGCCUACGAAUCUUAUAAAUAAAAUCACACAUCUGUAGAAUUUCAUUCAACUGUGGUACAAUAGAGGACUUUGAAUACAUCUUAAAUAAAUCCCAAAUACAUGUGUUUUGAAAUCUUUCUGUGGCACAGUAAAGUGUAAAACUUCAGAGGGGGUGAAUACUUUUGCAAUCCACUGUACAUGGACACUUCCUCACCUUCAUUGUGCUGGGCCCGCCUUUUGUCAUCUCGAGAGGUCCGUGGGGUAUCC
Molecule: long non-coding RNA, 1902 nt
Organism: Anguilla rostrata (American eel)
Lineage: Eukaryota; Metazoa; Chordata; Actinopteri; Anguilliformes; Anguillidae
Exons: 3
Source: RefSeq, a predicted model, not a curated record